This 367-nucleotide long non-coding RNA is filed under the name Mytilus galloprovincialis (Mediterranean mussel). The record is from RNAcentral. Lineage: Eukaryota; Metazoa; Mollusca; Bivalvia; Mytilida; Mytilidae.
AAAUUAUAAUCCUGGUACCUUUGAUAACUAUUUACACCACUGGGUCGAUGCCACUGCUGGUGGACGUUUCGUCCCCGAGGGUAUCACCAGCCCAGUAGUCAACACUUCGGUGUUGACAUGAAUAUCAAUAAUGUGGUCAUUUUAAUAAAUUUCCUGUUACAAAACUUUGAAUUAUCGAAAAACUAAGGAUUUUCUUAUCCCAGGCAUAGAUUACCUUAGCCGUAUUUGGCACAACUUUUUGGAAUUUUGGAUCCUCAAUGCUCUUAAACUUUGUACUUGUUUGGCUUUAUGAAUAUUUUGAUAUGAGCGUCACUGAUGAGUCUUAUGUAGACGAAACGCGCGUCUGGCGUACUGAAUUAUAAUCCUG